UUGUAAAAGAAUUAUUCUAUUCAUUUUUGGGAUAUGAGCCCAACAGCUUAAUACUUAGCUUAUUUUACA
This 69-nucleotide transfer RNA is filed under the name Austrofusus glans. Its description in RNAcentral is "tRNA-Met". Lineage: Eukaryota; Metazoa; Mollusca; Gastropoda; Neogastropoda; Buccinidae. The record is from RNAcentral.